ACAGAGUAUUCUAAAAGGAAUAACUAGAGAAUGAGAAAGAAUUUAUGGGAGUAAACAUUCUUUUAUUUAUUUUUGAGACAGGGUGUCACUAUGUCCUGCAGGCUGGCAUUGGGCUCACUGUUUAGCCCAGAGUGGCUUGAAACUCUCAGUGAUCCUCCUGCCUCAGCCUCCUGAGUUCUGGGACUAUAGGCGUGCACUGCUGCGCACGGCCAGGAAGCAGCCAUUCUGAUAGCAAAAAAGUUUAAAAACUAUUGCGGCUUGAAAGAUGAAGUUGAGGAGCUUUCUCUGGAAAUACAACAGGAAGAGACAGUGACAUGGAUUAGAGGAGAAAUGAGAGAGCAGGUGUGUGAAAAUCAGGGCAUCAAUCCGAGAAGCUCUGCAUUCAGCUAAUAGGAGUUCCAGAAAUAGAGGAGGGAGAACCAAACUGUCAAAGGAAUAAUACAAGAGAAUUUCCCAGAAUUAAGGAUGCCACUUCCCAGAUAGUAAGUUCCCUUGAGUGUCCAGUAUCAAAAAUAUCCAGAUUCAAGGUCAUUGUUGUGACAUUUCAGAUUCAGGGGUCGAGAGCUCUGUGGUUUCUGGAAAGGGUGGGCCAGGACUCAGUCAGACAAGUGAGGCGUUUGCCUUUCGUGUAGCAUUUGAGGGGGCAACAAAAUCAGUAAGAUAAAAUAUUUACCACUAUCAAAAAAUAAAAUAAGAAUAAAGUAAAAUAGCUUCUGAUGAACCAAAUGGGAAAAUGUUUUAACAUUAGAUGGGAUCUAGUGAGGCUGGGGUUAAAAAAGUGAGGUGGAGUUUUGAAAGUGUAGGUCUGGAGCCGGUCUUCAUUUAGGGUUGCUAUUUUGGUUAUUGUACUUUUAUUUUGUUUUGUUUUGUUUUUGAGGGUUUUGUGAUAUAGUUCAGGCUGGCCUUGAAUUCAUAGCAAUCCUGUCUCAGCCUCCGGAGUGUUGCGAUUGCAGCGUGCGUCCCCAUUCACUGUGGUUUCUGUGCAUUUUGACAAGCCCUGACUUUGGAGCUCAGGAAAAAGCUCCUCUUGCAUACAAAAGACUGAGAGUAACAAUAUCCCUGUGCUAGCCAGCGAGCUUUCAUCAUGGUGACAGAUACCUGAGACAGUCAGUGUAACAGAGGAAAGUUUUGAUUCAUAGUUUCAGAGGGUUCAGUUUAUGGAUAGCUGCCUCCAUGCUUUGGGCCAGUGAAAAGGUAGAAACAUUUUGGUGGAAGGGCACAGCAGGAGGGACCCACGGUCCUCCUGGCUGCCAGAAAGCAGAGAGAGGAUGGUGGAGGGGAAGGAAUGCCCUUCCAGGGUGCUCUGAGUUUGUCCAUCUGCCAUAGUCUAUGUAGUAAUGCACCCAUCAGUGGAUGGAUCCAUUCCUCACUUCAGGGAUCAAGCCCUCCGCACUCUUGGUGCAGACCGUGGCACUGGGAACUAGCAGCACAUUCCAGGAGGUUGAUACAAGGGGACAUUUUUAAAUGGCGAAUGAGGAAAAUGACAUCAGGUCUUUUGAAACAAUUGUCUUUGACUACAAGGAUUAAUAAUACCAAGGCACCAGUCCGAGUGUGAACAGGUAGUUGCUGGGCAGAUGUCCUUGUAGACUUUCGUGUAAAGUUUCAGUGGCUUUUGUGUAAAGUUGUGCUUCUGGUAGAGGUUUCUGUGACUAGUUAUUUUUUGAGGGGAUCCAUUCCUGAGAGUCCUCCUUGAAAACCUUUUUUUUUGGUAAUGGGAAUUGAGCUCAGGACCUUACACUUGUCAGGCAGGCCCUGUGCCACUGAGUUGUGUCCCUGGCCCCUGACUUUGUUUUCAGGUUGACAAAACAAGGGGAAAAUUUUAAAGGCAAACAAAGAGAUUGCCUCAAGUGUCGACAAAAGUGACUCCAUCUUGAUUCUGACAACUUUCAUAGUGUCGGUCUUGUACCAGUCACUUUGGAAGUGUAUGCGCAAUGAAACAGUGCUUCCAAACUUCUGACUCAAGAUGUUUUCCGACUUAGCAUCCCACACCCACCAAGACUCUCAAUGAACUAUGAGGGAGAAACAAAGACCUUUCUCAGAGAAAGAUCUAGGCAUGCAGAGCCUUCAGAUAGCUUGCUCCCAUGUCCUUUUCUGCAGGAAACUACUAAAAGAUGUGCUCCAUUAACACCAAGGAGCCAGGAACGAAGUUGGUUGCAGAACCAGGGACCCCAACACAGGAGAAGGAUUCAGGGGACACUUUGCGUAACAGCCUAAGGGAUGCCAAAGAUAGAUUUCCUUGUUGUAGCUCAGAGAACUACGCUAGAAAGCGGGAAGUCAGAAGGCUCUGGGGGUGAUGACAUUUGUCCUUAGCAAAAUAAAUGAGCCUGGCAAAGCACCUGACAAAUCUGGUCAGGUGGAAAAUUAUACUGAGGACAGGGAAAGAUUUUGUCAAUUAUCAAACAAACCAAUCGACCUAAAUUGAUGAAAAAAUGAAGUAACAAUUAACAGGAAAGAAGAUCAAGGUCUACUUAUUGGGCCAGCAACAACAUGUAUUUACCUUAUCUGAGAAGGUAGAAUGUGGAUUUUUAAAAAUUGAGAUGAAAUUGAGGCCAAGAGGGAAGAGAAGAAAACCUUCUCUGAGCCACCGAGAAGCCGAUCUCAAGGUUAAGCUGAUGACUCAGGAGACGCAAGAGUACAAGUAUUUGGGGACAGGGUGAUAAACAACAGAAGACCCAGCUGCAGGGUAACAGGGUGAGGGGAGAUGAAGCAGGUGCAGGGGUGUAGGCCACUGAUUUUCAUGGUAAGUCCUUGGCAUCACUGGGGACUCCUGGACCCUUCUUGGGCUCUGCAUCUAUGGAUUCAAUGUUAAAUUAACACAGGCGGAAUGUUAAAAAAAAAAAAAAAACACGCAUCUAUACUGAAACGUGGACACUUUUAAAUCUUGUCAUUAUUCUCCAGAUAAUACAGUAUAAGAAGUAUUUGCAUUGCAUUAUAUAUUAUAAGUAAUUUAAGAUGCUUUAAAGUCUGCAAGAGGAUGUAGGUUAUAUGCAAAUAAUAUGCAGUUUUAUUUAAGGAAUGUGAGCAUUCUCGGAUUUUGGUAUUUACGUGGGAUCCUGGAAUUAAUUCCCUAUGGAUACUAGGGAUGACUACACUUGGCUUUUCAAAAGAUUUACAGGUAAUACUUUGAUUAAAAUAAAACACUGUUCUGAAAAAUUUGACGAGGCUCUUGCUCUCUCUUGUACUAAGGAAGGUUUCCCUGACUCCCCUGGUGCCUCGAUUCCUUCCCUCUGUGAGUGACCACAGCUCUGGAACUCAUGUCCCCAACAAUGCUCUUCAACUGAGCGACAAGUGAAAAAUGAAGUUGGUUAAGGUGAGAAGAGCUCAACAAAAACCACUUGUGUGGAUGCUGAGCUGUGAAGGCCAUGUUGCCAUUACAGGAUAUUUGUCUUGAGUGGGGUGUCCCAAUGUUCAUGGCACUUUAUUUCCACUGUGGAGUCGGGUGGGCUGGGCUGAGGUUGUGGGCAGUCGGGUUGGGUAUUUAGAGUCACAUGCCUGGGCUCCCCACCUCCUUUCAAUGACCUGGGGGCCAGUUACUCAUCCCAAAACUCAUUUCCUUUUCUGAAUAGUGAGGCUAAGACAAAAGUACUACUUGGUAGCUGUACUGGUCAGCUUUCCCCUUGCUGGUACGCUCUGCCUGGACACGUACAACUUAAAGGAAGAGAAGUCUAUUUUGACUUUUGGUUUCCAAGGGUUCAGUUCAUGGUUAGUUGGCUUCAAGGCACAAAUGUCAUGGGGCAAGUGGGUGGGGCAAAGCUGUUCCCUUCACGAUGGCUGGGAAUAGUACCUGAGGUCACACCUCUGAGACCUGCCCAGACACACCCAGCAAUGCGAGGCUCCCAACUGAUAGUACAGCUUAACAUUGCAUAGUGCUGCCCACCCUCAGAAAAAGGUAGGUGAGGUGCCCAGCACAUGGUGGGUGGUUCUUAAACGGAUCUUUCUCAGUUGCAGAACGUUCAGGGAUGGCAGCUCUUCCUUGGUCCUGUAUUUCCUGAAUUCUUGUUGACUUCCAGGUCCUGGCCUCAGCUUCCAAGGCCACAGGACACUCGGCGCUCAGCACAGGCACGUGCUAUGUUGGCUUAGUGGUUUGUAACACCUAAACAUUUUCGGGGACAACCGAGUGACUCCACUUCAAGGUCUGUGCUGAGUCAGUUUCAAGUAGCUUUGCUUGGUUUUUGAACAAAAGUUAUUUAGCUGGGAAUAGGCUCAACUUGAGGUUUCCAUGAUUUUCACAUGACCUUUAAAUACCCCAGAUUUGCAGUUUCCUUCUUUUGCUAAUGAAAGACUAGAUGUCUCAGAAAACAGCACUUUAAUUUGAUGCCGUCACCCUGUACCUCUCCUGGCUUUCCUCCGUGUUUUCCUGGGCUCCAGGCUGCCCUGCCUCCCCACCACGCUGCAGCCCUCCCUGGCCCCGGGCCACCGCUCCUCCUCCGUGGGAACUGCUUGGGAUUCUCUAGGCCCUCCGGAGGCCACGCUUCCUGCAGUCCCCGUUUCAGGCUGUGCUGCAGCCCCUUCCAGCGAUGCCCUCCUCCUACCUUGGCUUCAGGUCACUGAAGAGGUCUACUUAAUUGGUUGUUAGUAUGUUUAAAAACUCUUUAGUGUUUACUGUUGAUGCUAUGAUCAUUCCCUAAGGCUCAGGCCUUUCUUUUCCCUAAAUUUACUGCUCUUGCUCUUUCUUUACUGAUCUUGAAUGGCUGAGUGGCCUUCAGUGAGCGCCUCUGCCUGGGCCUCUGUCUUAGCUCUGUCCCAUCCCAUUCCCUGGACUGUCGGGGGCUUCCUGGGUGGCCUCCUCAAGCCGGCCUGACUUUUGCUCACAUCUGAGGCAGACUCACACACCUGUCCCAACCCGUCCCCAAUCUUCGACUUGGUCAGUGGCAGCGCAAACUCUGCAGGUUUUCUUUGCUGUUCUCUCUUCCUUCAGCUUUAUCUCUUGAACCAGCCCACCCCUCUGACCUCCUCAGGGUGGUCCUCACUGUCCCCAAAUAUGUGGUCACUCCUCUGUUUUGCUUGGAGCAUCAGGGAGGGCACUUUGUCACUGUUGUACUUUUCAAAAAAUAAGAUUUUCCUUUACCAGUUACGGCCAAGGAAUCCAAGGAUGAUAGGCACUGUCUGCGUCCCGAUGAUGAGAGGCCUCUCAUCUCCCAGAGUCUGUCCACAGAUGGUGCGCAUGACCUCAUUGCUCAAUGUCAUGCUGAGGACCUGUGCCUCUUCUUGGGCUCAGCUUCACUGGUGGUGUGUGCAGGGGAGUUGUUUCUAGAAGAUCCACGGGUCAGCCCCUCUCAAGGUCAGGAAGCUUGAGAGUGCUUGAACCUGGACAACUUGGAGCUCGGGGUGGCCUAGGGGUAGAGCGCUAGGUGUGUGCCAUGCACAAGGCGCUGGAUUACAUUUUAGCGCGGCCAGCGCUAGGGAGACGGACAGAGACUAAAUUCUCCAGAUUCUUAACAGUAUGUCUAAGACAAAUCAGCUAUCCUCUUGCUUCACUAAUGCCUUGUUAUGCUAAUGAAAAGCCUCUGUCUUCUUCCUGCAUCUCACCAAGGAGACUCUCCUCAAGGAGGGGGAGGGAGGAGCAUGCCAGCCUGCUGGGGGCCGCUCAAGCUGGAAAUUGACCACAGGUGCAAGUUUGGAAUUUGACCUCCCCAAGAACAAAGAGCGCCUGGGCAAGCCAUGUGAAGAAGCUGCUUCAGCCGGAACCCCUGGCCCCAAAAGCAAUCUGAACAAUGGGUUGCUAGGACAACGGGGUGUCAUGUGAUAUUGAAUUGCUAAAAGGUGUAAAUAAAUGCUUCUGCAGUGAGGGGCCAGGACCUUUCCUCCCAUCAGGAGAGUAAGGACUGCACCUGUCCCCAGCUUUGUCUCUUCUUUAUUUUUCUCAUCUUCUCGUGGUCCUUCACCCCAAGAACCUCAGGAGCUGCUUGGGUCACGGCACCAGCCUGCCAGGGUCUGGUCACCCUACCCAUGCGUGCGCCUUUAUGCUGAUCCCCAACUUAAGAUUGCUGCUUCUCUAAGGGUCCUGCUAUGUAGCCCAGGCUGGCCUUGGACUCACAGCAAUCCUCCUGCCUCAGCCUCCUGAGUGCUGGAAUUACAGGCAUGCAAUACCCAUCCGCCUUCUUCAUCUUGUAAAUGUUUUGACUUUGCCUUGGGAUGCCGCCUAGUGAUCCCCUGCAGACCUAAUGGCCUCCCAUCCCUUCACCUCCCACCGGAUCACAGCAGUAUUUGUGGCAGUUGAGUGCCCUCCUCAAUGAAAUUCCCUUUGGAGACUGACAGAAGACGAUCAUCACCAAUUCACCUGGGAUGUGAUCCUGAUUGCAGAGUGGGGAAAGGAGGGGGUGAUGACAUUCCUGGCCAGCUGGCAAGCUGUCCAGGGUCAGCUCCCAGCUCCCAGCCCACUGCACAGCAGGGGAGAAUGCACACCAGGACCUGAGACAGAGGGACAAGUGACGCCUGUCUGUCUGGAGGGGGGGAGCUAAGUGUCCACAUCCAAAGGGACACGCGGCACCCAACACGGUUGGUAGGACCUGGUGUUUCAGAACCAGCGAAGGGGAUUAGACGCCAAAAAUUCCAAGAAAAAAAAUAGGUCCACCGUGAGAGGUGUCCUGGGCUGCUCCCUGCCACUCUGGGUGUGAGCAGGAGCUGGAGGGCUGCCUGCUCCCCUCACCAGACUGGGCGGCAAGAGGAAGGAGAAUUAAACAAAAAAAGAUGAAUUAUCUUUUUGCUAUGGAACAUGCAGGGUUGAGGCAGAGUCUUGCAAAACUGCCUUGGCUGACCUGGGUUCUUCUAAUCCUAAGAAUUUAGACCAGCCCAUCCUUGGCCAGUAAAUUUUUCUGUGUGAAA
This is a long non-coding RNA of Cavia porcellus (domestic guinea pig), 6825 nucleotides long. RefSeq lists it as uncharacterized. Lineage: Eukaryota; Metazoa; Chordata; Mammalia; Rodentia; Caviidae. The transcript is spliced from 2 exons. The record is from RefSeq and is a predicted model, not a curated record.